Molecule: ribosomal RNA, 253 nt
Filed under: uncultured Acidocella sp.
Lineage: Bacteria; Pseudomonadati; Pseudomonadota; Alphaproteobacteria; Acetobacterales; Acidocellaceae
Description: partial 16S ribosomal RNA
Rfam family: Bacterial small subunit ribosomal RNA
Source: RNAcentral
UACGAAGGGGGCUAGCGUUGCUCGGAAUGACUGGGCGUAAAGGGCGCGUAGGCGGCAUAUACAGUCAGAAGUGAAAUUCCUGGGCUCAACCUGGGGACUGCUUUUGAUACGUGUAAGCUAGAGUGGAGAAGAGGGUUGUGGAAUUUCCAGUGUAGAGGUGAAAUUCGUAGAUAUUGGAAAGAACACCGGUGGCGAAGGCGGCAACCUGGUCUUCUACUGACGCUGAGGCGCGAAAGCGUGGGGAGCAAACAGG